This is a non-coding RNA of Peromyscus maniculatus bairdii (prairie deer mouse), 2543 nucleotides long. The record is from RefSeq and is a predicted model, not a curated record. Lineage: Eukaryota; Metazoa; Chordata; Mammalia; Rodentia; Cricetidae.
AUUAUCAAAAGAACAGUGUAAGGAAAACGGUAAAUUGUAGUAGUAUAUCCAUGCUCAAAAUUACAGUUUGGUUAAUAAAGGAAAAAUUAAAAAGAAAAAAUAAUUAUGUAUGUUGUUACCCCUAGCCCUCAAUAGUUAUUGAGAGACAACACUUAUGGGUUCCAAAGAUUUUAAUAAUUCACCACAUAAGCAGGUCACUGAUCGAUCAGGGCUGCAGGACAAAGACUCAGGAGCCUUGUUUCUCCUGACAGCCCCAGCAGGAGCAGAAUUGGGGUUUAUAAGCACAAACAUCACAAGCAUUUGUUGUCAAGUUAUGGUUACAGUUUUCACCAAUCAAGAUUUAGAGAUACAGUGCAAGCCUUUCAGUCCGACCAAUCAGAUCCAUUUGUUCCUUCUGUGGUUAGGAAUGGCCAUGAUGUUUCUAAAGAACUAAAGAUGUAUGACGACUAUUUCUAUGGUUUAAGGAGGAGGUGGAUCAGCCAUUGGAAGGUUCCCAAGUUGUAGGGGAGCUGGGAAACCUGAACUGUAUUUUACCCUGCGGAUAAGAGAGUCUGAAGUCAAAAUGCCAACACUCAGGCCAAGGUGCUUUUGCCUGCUUGGGUUGCCUGGUUUCUCAGGAUUGUGAGACUCGCCCUUUAUUUUUGCCCUGUUCUCCUGGGAUGCCUAUUGAAGACAAGGAUAGAGAGUGAUUUACAGUGGCUCCUUUUCCAUCUUCACCUCAUGAUCGAGCCUCAGUCUGUACCUAAUAGUCUGAGCUAACAGAUGAUGGUGAUGACAAAGACCAUGGAUUCUGCUUUAGGUUCCUGCCUUGAGUUCCUGCUCCGAUGUCUGUCAGUAAUGGAAUCGGAAGCUGAAGUAAACCCCUUUGUCCCCUAAGUCGGUGUUUACCAUGGCAACAGGAAAGCAAGCAUCAGCCUAGAGAGGUAGACACACAAGGAGCCUUUGCUCACUAAUCUUCAGACUGUCCAUCUGGGUGAUGGGUUAAAAGAUGAAGACAGCUAUGUUGACAAUAGCUGUCUGGGAUUGAGGGGAAGUGGUUUCCUUUUGCCAAGUGUCCUGUCGUUAUAUCUACUGCCUCUCAGUUCUCCAAGGAUUGCACUGUCUCGGUCAUGAAGAUUGAUUCUGGUAAAGCUCUGGUAUAAAGCUGAUGCCUGAAGCUAACGCUCUGAGUCUCUGCUUCUGCUACCUUCUGGACAUGAAUGAGCAUCGUGCCACAGGGUGCGGGAUCCUGGCUUCUCUAGGACAAUGGGACAUUUGAUGCAACUCAGAAAUUACCCAACAAGAUUGAGGAUGGUGCUCCACAGGCCCAUCCACAGCACCUGACACCUGCAGAACGGUGGAAAGCUCGAACUGUGCUUGGAAACGUGGAAGACAUUUUCCAGAUCAUGACACUCUUUAAGGCUAGGUAGAGAUCUCUGGUUUCACCAAAGCGUGUGAGUGUGUCACCAACACCAGCGCUAGUCUCUACAAAGCCAUUUGAUACUUGGAGCUAGUUGCUCCCUAGAAGAAAGUGACAAGUUGUGUUCUAUAAAGGGCAUGUAGAAAUGUGGAUGGUGGUGAUGGAGGCACCCAUUUCCACCACAGCCUCUGUGUCCCAGCUCAGAAUACCACAGAAGCAUAAGGAUGACUUCUCGGAAGCUACAAAUCUGCUCCGGGCGCAAAGAGAGAAGUUUUGCCCAUCACUUCUUCUGAACCAAAGAUCUGUAACAAUCAAAAGCCAUAGGAGCUCUUUGGUGUCACAGGGGAUGCCAUGAAGGGCAUUGACAGCAAAGUGGUAGCUUUGACAACUUACGUAAUUGUUUUAGAGCGUAUGUGUUUAGAUAUGUCUCGACCUCCCCCAACAGUUCUGUCUCCUGGAGUUUUCAAUUCACAGUCCUCGUGGGUCCGCAGACUACUCCCCAAGCACACUGGUUGCUGAAGUUUUCUCUAUAAACAUAGCUAAGGAGACAGGGAGCAGCUGUGUCACAUGUUUCUGUGACUGAUGGGCUUGUGUGGGAUUCUCACUGCUAUGGUUUAUAGUCUGUCUUGGAUACUAAUGCAUAGGAAGCUUCCACUCUAAUGUGGCAAUGUGAGAUGUGCUGGAGCCUUUAAAAGGAGGGCCUCAGUGCAAGACAGAUGGGUGAUGGGGGUACCACCUUGGGCAGGCACUGAGUCAGUCUCGAAAGCUCUUGGGUCAUUAUAAAGGAGCAACAUGACCCCUUCCUAGCGUCUCUGGCUUCCCACUCACAAUGGAAUCUCUCAUUUUUACACCCAUUCCCACCAUGAUGCCAUCUGCCAUAAUAUUGUGUGGGCCUUUACCAGAGGCCAAAUGGACUGUCAAUCUCUAAAACCAUGAACUGUACAAACAAACCUCUUUUCUUUUCAGCCUCAAGUAUUUAUUCAAGCAACAGCAAAGGGACUAAUACACUAACCUACUCUGGAAAGCUGCUACUGUACCUUCAGCCUUCACUUGGAAGUAGUGACCAUUGUUUAUGAUCACAAAAUUAUAACUUGCAGCUCAUGUUAUCAUGUGAGAGAAAAAAAUAAAGCUAUGGACUUAGAAA